RNAcentral lists this ribosomal RNA (465 nucleotides) under uncultured bacterium. Its description in RNAcentral is "partial 16S ribosomal RNA". It matches the Rfam family "Bacterial small subunit ribosomal RNA", at positions 338 to 795 of the family's 1533-position model. The record is from RNAcentral.
CCUACGGGCGGCAGCAGUAGGGAAUCUUCCACAAUGGGCGAAAGCCUGAUGGAGCAACGCCGCGUGGGUGAAGAAGGUCUUCGGAUCGUAAAACCCUGUUGUUAGAGAAGAAAGUGCGUGAGAGUAACUGUUCACGUUUCGACGGUAUCUAACCAGAAAGCCACGGCUAACUACGUGCCAGCAGCCGCGGUAAUACGUAGGUGGCAAGCGUUGUCCGGAUUUAUUGGGCGUAAAGGGAGCGCAGGCGGUAAUUUAAGUCUGAUGGGAAAGCCUUCGGCUUAACCGGAUUAGUGCAUUGGAAACUGGUAGACUUGAGUGCAGAAGAGGAGAGUGGAACUCCAUGUGUAGCGGUGAAAUGCGUAGAUAUAUGGAAGAACACCAGUGGCGAAAGCGGCUCUCUGGUCUGUAACUGACGCUGAGGUUCGAAAGCGUGGGUAGCAAACAGGAUUAGAUACCCCUGUAGUC